CACGGACCAAUGAGGGAUGGGCACACUCCUGUCAAAGGCCUGUGUUAGCUACUCUGCAGUCACUGCUACCAAGUGAACCACAGAAAGUAACAUAAGGAAGGAAUGAAGAUUCAGCAUGCAUUUGGAGGGACACAUAUUCUAACAUGAUACCCCACAAACUAGAGCUGGUCACCACUAGACGUGACCUGCCUGAGGCCCAUGACACAUCAUGUCUUAGGAUCUUGGGCACUUGAGCAGUGUCAGCAUAUAAAGGCAUGUAUCUGCUGUGGUAUUCGCAUGGAGUCAGGGGACUAGUCUAUGGAGUCAGCGGUCUUCCUCUACCUUUGCAUGAGUUCCAGGGAUUACACUCCAGUUGCCAGGCUUGCAUGAGUUGAAGAACUCCUCGGGAAUAAGAAAAGCACAGAGUACUGAUACCAAGGUAACUUUCAACUUUUCCACAUUCCCCAAAUCUACCUUAAAACUUCACAUUACUCUUUCUAAUUGUACUGUAGUUUCUCUGGUAUUAGCCACCUACUUACCCCAGGUUUAAAUUCAGAACAACAACAAAAAAAGCUUCUGUCAUUCCAAAAUGGAAACAUUUGCUUUACUUCCUUUAAGUUUUCCGUAUUGUUUCUUGCUUGUUUGAAGUUUGGGGACAAUUGACUCUGAUAAGUUAUCAAUAACUAGUUAGGUUUAGCAGUUAUUCACACUAUGGGGUAAUGUAGCAAGACUAAACAUUGUCAGCCUUAUUUUAAGAAGUUGGAUUUCUACUUUUCCCUUCAUCCUACAAAUUGAAAAAACAGCAAUUUAAAUCAGAAAGAGUUGCUGAGUGAAGCAGAUGAUUGUGUAACAGGCAGGAAGCAGCCUCAUGCCCUCAUCUGUAAAGUGGAGGUGAUAAGACAAUCAGUCUCAGGAACACCACACUGUGAAUGUCCCACAGAUAUCCCCCAUACACCAGGAUUCCUAUACACCUCAGAAUCGACAUCCUCACAGGAAUCCUGUAAACACUAAACAAGGAAAUUUGUUAGCUGGAUAAGUGUAAAUAAUCAAGAAACAUUGGUGUUUCUUAAUUUGACUUUCUGAUCAUCUAAACUGUCUUCUCUAAUUGUCUGUUCUACACUGUUUUCUUCAAUCAUAAAUUUCUAUUUAAAAACAUCUCCUAAAGAUUCAGAUUCCUGCUAUUUCUCCAUAAAAACUUCUUGAAUUCCUAGCUCUGACUCUUUACUUCUGGUGCUCUGCCAAUCACUUACCAAUGGAUUUAGAACAAUAUUUUAUUACGUAUUUUUUUGGUAUUUAUUAAGUUCUAAAGUGAUAAUAUUUUAAUGAAACAUUUUGUUGCAGUAGGGCCAUGGACAAAAACAUGGCCCUCAGCUUUAGCUCUGGCCCAGAUGUCAUCAUGGCAUUGAGUAGCAGCACAGGCCACUUAAAUCUGCAUGCAUCUUGGUCCUCAGACACCAACCUGGACUUAGGUAGUUAAGCUGAUCCUGGGCAUCCUUAUGGGCCUUGGUGUCAACAGGAGCCACAUAGGUUACUCCAGACCCUGGCUGCUAUAGGGUCAAGGACCCAGACAAGGGAGGAUAUGAGGGGACUGGGAGGUGAGCAGAAUUGAGGUACAUGAUAUGAAACUCCCAAAGAAGUCAAUGAAAAAGUUAAAUUUUAAAAAUAAAUAAAUAAAUAAAUAAAUAAACAUUUUGGUUAAAACCAAUGAUAAACUAGUCUGCCUCCGUCUUAGACUUGGAAGACAUCUCAUAAUGAAAACAAAUUGCAUUCAUUCCUGUUUAUUAUUAAAUGUGUUUCUUAAGGAUUAGGCUGUACCCUGCCUAUAAUCUUAAUUACAAGUAGUUCCGUACUGCCUGCUUGAGGAAACAGAAACCAUGCCUUUGUUUUGAAAGGUUAUUAUAACCAUGUUGUUAUGACUACCUGGUUACGACCAGGUUGUUAUGACCACCUUGUUAUAACCCCCUUGCAACCAUAUCUUUGUUUUAGGGGGUUGUUAUGACCAAGUUGCUAUCCUUCUGUUCUGGUUCUAAAACCCUACCUAUUUGCCUGCCAAAUCCUCUAUUUGGGAAACCCCUACUCCUAAACUAUAAAACCCUUAUCAUCCCCACAUCAAAAGUUGAUCUCUUGAACCCCUCUUUUAGUGAGAGCCAGCCCAUGAACAUGAAUUAAAUAAGUUUGCUUUAA
Peromyscus eremicus (cactus mouse) is the source of this 2163-nucleotide long non-coding RNA. RefSeq lists it as uncharacterized. The transcript has 5 exons. Lineage: Eukaryota; Metazoa; Chordata; Mammalia; Rodentia; Cricetidae. The record is from RefSeq and is a predicted model, not a curated record.